AUUGAACGCUGGCGGCAGGCCUAACACAUGCAAGUCGAACGAGUGGCGGACGGGUGAGUAAUGUCUGGGAAACUGCCCGAUGGGGGGGGAUCACUACUGGAAACGGUAGCUAAUACCGCAUACCCUCGUAUGUGCCCAGAUGGGAUUAGCUAGGAGGUGGGGUAACGGCUCACCUGGGCGACGCUCCCUCGCUGCUCUGAGAGGAUGACCAGCCACACUGGAACUGAGACACGGUCCAGAAUCCUACGGGAGGCAGCAGUGGGGAAUAUUGCACAAUGGGCGCAAGCCUGAUGCAGCCAUGCCGCGUGUAGGAAGAAGGCCUUCGGGUUGUAAAGCACUUUCAGCGAGGAGGCGUUACUCGCAGAAGAAGCACCGGCUAACUCCGUGCCAGCAGCCGCGGUAAUUC
Molecule: ribosomal RNA, 406 nt
Filed under: uncultured bacterium
Lineage: Bacteria
Description: partial 16S ribosomal RNA
Rfam family: Bacterial small subunit ribosomal RNA
Source: RNAcentral